GUAACCAUCUCCUCUUUCAUCGUACUUAUCAGCACCGGAAUAUUCUAGAGAUUGGCGGUAUAAAGCUUGAUUAACACCAUUUCCAACACCCCUUCUCAAGUUGGACGAGGAUGAAGAAACCCCAACUUGCCUAGAAUAUUAUGAUGCAAAGUCCCAGUUAGGUAUUUAGUAAAUAGAUCUGCCAAUAGAGAAGCAGAUCGGGCAUAAGACAAAGAAAUCAAGCUGGCUAGGAACUAUAGGAGAACAAAAUGGCAGUCGAUCUCCACAUGCUUCAUUCUUUCGUGAAACACGGGGAUCUUAGCGAUGUGAAUCGCACCUUGGCUAUCUGAAUGAAGAGGAAUUGGGAGUGAGAUUGAAAUAGAGAGAUCGUCAAAGAGACGAACCAGCUAGGUUAAUUAUGCUACAACUCGUCGCAUAGAACAAUAUUCGGCUUCGAUAGAGCUAAGAGAAAUAGCAGAUUAUUUCUUAGAUUUUAAAGAAAUUGGAGAUGAAGCAAGGCAGAUGUAGAACUCACUCAAAAACCUCUGUGAAUCUGGGCAAGUUCCCCAAUUGGAGUCGCAUAAAGCCAGAAGCUAAAAUGAUGAAGAAUGUGACAUAAAGAGUCCAAGACCUGGAUCCUCGAGAAGAUAGCGAAGAACUCGAAGUGCUGCAGCAAGAUGAUGAGCUCGAGGAUCCUGCAUGUAUUAUCUUAAAUGCUGAACGGUGAUGCGAAGAUCCGAUCUUGUGUAAGUUAGGUAGUUCAACUUGCCUAAGAGGUGACGAUACAGUGUUGGAUCAUGGAGAGGUUCCCCUAUUUUAGCAAACAAUUUGACUUAUACAUCAAGGGGUGAAGAUACUGGGGUCAAACGCAAGCAAUCAAAUUUUGCUAACAUAUCCAUGGUGUACUUCCGCUAACACAAGAUCAAUCUAUGUGUCUCACACAAUGCCUCCAUUCCCAGAAAGAAAUGUAAGUCACCAAGUUCUUAAUUUUGAAUUCCUGAUUUAGGAAGUCUUUCAAGGCAUAUAAUUCAGUAUUGUCAUUUCAUGUUAACAAGAUGUCGUCUACAUAUACAGCAACAAUAUAAAUGGAAGAAUUUGUCUUUUAAAAAUAUAAGGAGUAAUCAUUUAAAGAUGAGUGAACCCUUAAAAUUUAGGGCAGAGGUGAGCUUUGCAUACCACUGUCGGGAUGCUUGACGAAAUCCAUAAGAGAUCUUUUUAGGCGACAGAGGCUAGGUGGAGUGACCCCAGCAGGAAACUUCAUAUAGACCUCUUUAUCCAUGUUUCCUUGCAAAAAUGCAUUAUUUAUAUCUAACUGAUAGAGACCCAUCCUAUCUUCGCUGUUGUAGCCAAAAUGCACCUUAUGGUAGUCAUUUUGACUACUGGUGUAAAUGUUUCAUUGAAAUCAAUCCCCUCACGUUGUAUAUCACCUCUUAUCACUAAUCGUGAUUUUAGUCUGUCUAUGUUCACAUCUGAGUGUUGCUUCAUUUUAUACACUCACUUAUUGGGUAAAGCCUUCUUACCAGGAGCAGUUCUACUACGUUCCAGGUACUAUGCAACUCUAGAGCCUCAAUUUCUUUAUCCAUGGCUUGUUGCCAACCUGGAUGAUGCGGCAACCUGAACAUAGCUAAUAGGUUCAUAAACAUUCGAUAUAGAGUUGAGCAUAUGUUGAUUUAAAUAAGGUAAACCACUAAAAGAAAAUGAAGUAAGUGUUACUGGGACUAGAAAAUAAGAAGAACUAACAUAUGUUAGAGCAUCACAGAUAUAGUUCUUUAUAUAGGUUGGAGUUUUAUGUAAUUCUGGUGGGUUUUCUUAUGAGAGUGUCUACCACAGCUUCUGAUUCUGGUGAGAAAAAAUAGGAAAACUCCUAGAAACUGUAGAGGAUUUUGGUGUAUAACUAGAUGAAGGGGGUUGGAAAUCAAUAGGAGAUCUAGGUGUGUAACUGGAUGAAGAAAAUCUAGAAGGGCUAGGGGAUCUAGGACUAGAAAAAGAGGGUUAGUUGAAAGAACAUUAUCUGGAAUAAAACAUCUUGGGUUGGCACAUCAGAGGAUUGGAUAACUCAUGUGUUCUAGUUAGCCUUAGGCAAAAAAGACACAUUAGGAUUAGCAUCUUUAAUAGAGGCAAAUAGAAAGAAUUCCUCAUGAAACACUAUAUCUCUUGAAACAAAUGGUUUGAGAGUCUUUAGAUUGAGCACCUUAUAACCUUUUUUACUAUAUGGAUAGACCAAAAUAAUACAAGGAACUGCACUUACUUGAAAUUUUCCUCUAUGACUUGAAAGUGUGGAAGCAAAACAUAAACACCUAAAGCACCUAAGAUUGGAAUAAUUAGGUUUGACAUUAAAAAAAAUCUCAUAGGGGUUCUUUAGGUGUAAAACCUUUGAAGAGAACCUGUUGAUAAAGUAAGUUGUUGUCAAAAAUAAAUCUCCUCAGUAUGAGAUAGGUAAGUGAAAUUGAAAUAAUAAAUCUUUAGAGGUCUCUAGUAAGAGCUUAUUCUUUCUCUCCACAACUCCAUUUUGUUGUGGAGUGUACACACAAGUAGUCUGGUAAGAAAGAACUCUGACUGAACAUUUUCACUUCACAAUUCAAAAGCAUUAUCUGACCUUAUGACUUUUACUUUGCUGUGAAACUGCCUUUCUACCGUGGCUAGAAAGGACUUUAGAAUUGUGAAAGCAUUGGACUUGGCACUCAGUAAAUAGGUUCAUGUACCUCUAUUGAAAUCAUCAACUAUUAUAAGAAAAAACUUGAAACCAUCAUAAGUGGAAUGUUCAUAAGGUCACCAUGCAUCAACAUAAAAUAAUUCAAACACAGAGUUAGGUGUAAUAGAGCUAGAAGGGAGAGGAAGUUGGGUUGUCUUGCCAUUAGACGAGCAACACAAGGAACAGAAAAUUUGACACAUGAAGAAAUAGGAAUAGAUAUAUUCUUCAUAUUACUCAAAGUCGUGUGGCCUAAUCUAUAGUGCCACAAAUUUUCUUUUACAUUAGAAUUAGAAAAAGUAAAACAUGAAUUGGAAAUAGCAAUAGGCUUUAAUUAACUAUUGGAAUUAAAACUACUACUAGUCUUAGGGAAACUCUUAGAAGUUGUUGCUAGAUGCCUUAACUCAAAAGAUGUAGAAGCCUCUUUUCUCUUACCAAUUUCCAGAGGGCUCUUCAAUGAAUGGCCCUGCAGCAAAAAAUAAGGAGUGAAUAGGAAGAACUUUCUAAGCUGUUUGCACAACUUGAGCACAUACAAAAAGUUAAAUUUGAAUGAAGAUAUGUAUAAGACAUGUUGUAACUAGAUUAGGCAAAAGAAUAACAGAUCCAUAAUAAGUAACUCUAACUUUGUAAGAAUUUGAAAGUUUAGCUAUUAUUGGUUUGGGCAAAACCCUAAAAUCUGAAAAGAAUGCUUUGUUAAAAGUCAUAUGCUCAGUGGAUCCACUUUUUAUUAUCCAUGACUGACUAUCAAUUUCUAUGAAACAAGCAUAAGUAUCAAAAAAAAUUAAUAUUCUAGCAUAGUUGAAGAUGGAAAGAGCAUCAAAGGAAUCUAUGCCCUACUGGUUCAAGUUCACCUGUUGAAGAAGCUGCAGCAGCUGGAUCACAUUCUCCUAGGUAAGGGCCUUCACCUCUGAACUAUUGUUAGUUCCUUGUUCUGCUUCUUCGACUGUGUUAAGAACAUUGUAUGUUUGGGUUGUACCUUGAAACUUCAUCUGCUUUGUGAAUUUGAAAUCUGUGGGAACCUAUGGAUUUGAUAGCACUUAUCUAUGCUAUGAGCCGGCUUCUUACAAUAGGCACAAAUGUUAGUGUUUCUUUUCACAUCAUAACCUGUUUUCUGUCCUUUAUACUCAAUAAACUUCUUCCCCCCUCCUGAUUGAUUUGCUUCCACAAAAGAUGUUGAUUCACUGGAUAAAAAGGUGUGGGAUGUAUUUAUCUCUGCUUUUCAUCGUGCAUGAAAAGUGAGAAAGCCUGACCAAUGGAGGGUAAAGGGGAAGGAAACAGUAUGUUACUUCUGGCCCCAAUGAAAGUCUCAUUUAGACCUGUAAGAAUAUGUAAAUAGUAGUAAAAUAACUCUAAUCCAAUAUAUAUUAGGAGUAGGAUAGGUUAUGUGUAUAUAUAAGGCUCAUUGUAUCAUGUUUAAUAUCAAUAUAUCAAUAGUAUUUCUCUCCCGUGUAUUCUCACAUGGUAUCCGAGCAAUCGUGAGAGAUUUAUCGCUGUGCAGACAUUCCAGCGACUCCGGGAAGGAAAAUCAGUUGACCGGAAGUCUUUUUCCGGCAAUCCACUUUUC
RNAcentral lists this long non-coding RNA (4232 nucleotides) under Nicotiana benthamiana. RNAcentral's name for it is "long non-coding RNA (NBEN_LNC025283)". The record is from RNAcentral. Lineage: Eukaryota; Viridiplantae; Streptophyta; Magnoliopsida; Solanales; Solanaceae.